GACGAACGCUGGCGGCGUGCUUAACACAUGCAAGUCGAACGGAAAGGCCCUGCUUUUGUGGGGUGCUCGAGUGGCGAACGGGUGAGUAACACGUGAGUAACCUGCCCUUGACUUUGGGAUAACUUCAGGAAACUGGGGCUAAUACCGGAUAGGAGCUCCUGCUGCAUGGUGGGGGUUGGAAAGUUUCGGCGGUUGGGGAUGGACUCGCGGCUUAUCAGCUUGUUGGUGGGGUAGUGGCUUACCAAGGCUUUGACGGGUAGCCGGCCUGAGAGGGUGACCGGCCACAUUGGGACUGAGAUACGGCCCAGACUCCUACGGGAGGCAGCAGUGGGGAAUAUUGCACAAUGGGCGGAAGCCUGAUGCAGCAACGCCGCGUGCGGGAUGACGGCCUUCGGGUUGUAAACCGCUUUCGCCUGUGACGAAGCGUGAGUGACGGUAAUGGGUAAAGAAGCACCGGCUAACUACGUGCCAGCAGCCGCGGUGAUACGUAGGGUGCGAGCGUUGUCCGGAUUUAUUGGGCGUAAAGGGCUCGUAGGUGGUUGAUCGCGUCGGAAGUGUAAUCUUGGGGCUUAACCCUGAGCGUGCUUUCGAUACGGGUUGACUUGAGGAAGGUAGGGGAGAAUGGAAUUCCUGGUGGAGCGGUGGAAUGCGCAGAUAUCAGGAGGAACACCAGUGGCGAAGGCGGUUCUCUGGGCCUUUCCUGACGCUGAGGAGCGAAAGCGUGGGGAGCGAACAGGCUUAGAUACCCUGGUAGUCCACGCUGUAAACGGUGGGUACUAGGUGUGGGGUCCAUUCCACGGGUUCCGUGCCGUAGCUAACGCUUUAAGUACCCCGCCUGGGGAGUACGGCCGCAAGGCUAAAACUCAAAGGAAUUGACGGGGCCCCGCACAAGCGGCGGAGCAUGCGGAUUAAUUCGAUGCAACGCGUAGAACCUUACCUGGGUUUGACAUGGAUCGGGAGUGCUCAGAGAUGGGUGUGCCUCUUUUGGGGUCGGUUCACAGGUGGUGCAUGGCUGUCGUCAGCUCGUGUCGUGAGAUGUUGGGUUAAGUCCCGCAACGAGCGCAACCCUUGUUCACUGUUGCCAGCACGUUAUGGUGGGGACUCAGUGGAGACCGCCGGGGUCAACUCAGAGGAAGGUGGGGAUGACGUCAAGUCAUCAUGCCCCUUAUGUCCAGGGCUUCACGCAUGCUACAAUGGCUGGUACAGAGAGUGGCGAGCCUGUGAGGGUGAGCGAAUCUCGGAAAGUCGGUCUCAGUUCGGAUUGGGGUCUGCAACUCGACCUCAUGAAGUCGGAGUCGCUAGUAAUCGCAGAUCAGCAACGCUGCGGUGAAUACGUUCCCGGGGCU
This 1346-nucleotide ribosomal RNA is filed under the name uncultured bacterium. Its description in RNAcentral is "partial 16S ribosomal RNA". It matches the Rfam family "Bacterial small subunit ribosomal RNA", at positions 28 to 1381 of the family's 1533-position model. The record is from RNAcentral.